Molecule: ribosomal RNA, 762 nt
Filed under: uncultured Alphaproteobacteria bacterium
Lineage: Bacteria; Pseudomonadati; Pseudomonadota; Alphaproteobacteria
Description: bacterial SSU rRNA
Rfam family: Bacterial small subunit ribosomal RNA
Source: RNAcentral
CUUAACACAUGCAAGUCGAGCGCCCCGCAAGGGGAGCGGCAGACGGGUGAGUAACGCGUGGGAAACUACCCUAUGGUACGGAAUAACACAGAGAAAUUUGUGCUAAUACCGUAUGUGUCCUUCGGGAGAAAGAUUUAUCGCCAUAGGAUGUGCCCGCGUCGGAUUAGCUAGUUGGUGAGGUAAUGGCCCACCAAGGCGACGAUCCGUAGCUGGUCUGAGAGGAUGAUCAGCCACAUUGGGACUGAGACACGGCCCAAACUCCUACGGGAGGCAGCAGUGGGGAAUAUUGGACAAUGGGCGCAAGCCUGAUCCAGCCAUGCCGCGUGAGUGAUGAAGGCCUUAGGGUUGUAAAGCUCUUUCGCUCGCGAGGAUAAUGACGGUAGCGAGAGAAGAAGCCCCGGCUAACUUCGUGCCAGCAGCCGCGGUAAUACGAAGGGGGCUAGCGUUGUUCGGAAUCACUGGGCGUAAAGCGCUCGUAGGCGGAUAUUUAAGUCAGAGGUGAAAGCCUGGGGCUCAACUCCAGAACUGCCUUUGAUACUGGGUAUCUUGAGUCCGGUAGAGGUGAGUGGAACUGCUAGUGUAGAGGUGAAAUUCGUAGAUAUUAGCAAGAACACCAGUGGCGAAGGCGGCUCACUGGACCGGUACUGACGCUGAGGAGCGAAAGCGUGGGGAGCAAACAGGAUUAGAUACCCUGGUAGUCCACGCUGUAAACGAUGGAAGCCAGCCGUUGGGCAGCAUGCUGUUCGGUGGCGCAGCUAACGC